Molecule: long non-coding RNA, 264 nt
Filed under: Ananas comosus (pineapple)
Lineage: Eukaryota; Viridiplantae; Streptophyta; Magnoliopsida; Poales; Bromeliaceae
Description: long non-coding RNA (ACOM_LNC012488)
Source: RNAcentral
UACUAUACUAUCAAUAGUACCAAAUCCUUGGUACUAUUGAGUUUUCGGCUGUUGGAUAAAAGAAUGUGUGGUUAGGAUGAUAGUGGUCCCCUAGGGUUGAGUGGGUGGUUGGUUUAAUAGUAUAAUCUAACGGGUGAAAAUGAUCAAAUGAUAGAUCUAACGGUAGAAAACUCAAUAGUAUCAAGAGCUUGAUACUAUCAAUAGUAUAGAAGCCGGACUCAUAUAUAUAUAUAAAAGUAAGAAUAUACAAAAUUUAUAUAAAAU